This 236-nucleotide ribosomal RNA is filed under the name Clostridioides difficile. RNAcentral's name for it is "partial 16S ribosomal RNA". It matches the Rfam family "Bacterial small subunit ribosomal RNA", at positions 1307 to 1533 of the family's 1533-position model. Lineage: Bacteria; Bacillati; Bacillota; Clostridia; Peptostreptococcales; Peptostreptococcaceae. The record is from RNAcentral.
GAAACUCGCCUACAUGAAGCUGGAGUUACUAGUAAUCGCAGAUCAGAAUGCUGCGGUGAAUGCGUUCCCGGGUCUUGUACACACCGCCCGUCACACCACGGGAGUUGGAGACGCCCGAAGCCGAUUAUCUAACCGUUUGGAAGAAGUCGUCGAAGGUGGAAUCAAUAACUGGGGUGAAGUCGUAACAAGGUAGCCGUAUCGGAAGGUGCGGCUGGAUCACCUCCUUUCUAAGGAGA